AAUAUUCAAAAAUCAAAACCAAGUUCCAAACCUCCUCUCUCUCUCAUUCUCACGGAUUCAUGGCCAUUACAUUCAUGCCUGUGUUCACCUCUCUCUCCCCAAACGAAACAAAUACUUCCUUUUAUUUUCCCCCAACAUCACUUAAAAAGCUCACCUCUAAUCAACACAAAAACCCCCUUUAACAUCCCAACAACAGAUCUAUAUUCUACGGUCAUGCAUCCUAUGAAUCCGAAAACCAAAUAUCGAACACGAAAUCAAACUAUAGAUUUACAGAGCUGCAAGGUUGCGGGAAGAAAAAAGAAGAAUUAUGCAUGCAUUUAGUUGUAUCAAAGCAACUUAAAAUCAGCAAUAGUAGCAAGGGGUUUUACCAGAUCGAGGUAUCUUGGGGAGGAACAAACGGGUCAUAGGUUUGAAGAGACUUUGAUGGAAUGGAAAAGAAAAGUGUUGUAAGACAGUAAGUUGGAGGCGCGCCCAAGUCAAGGAACCCGUUUCCAUUUGCAGCAAACUUCCACUUAGUUAAAAUGUAAUUAUUUAGUUUAAUUUUUUUUAAGGACAAAAUGUGUAUUUGGACUUAUGUAACUUAUUGAAUUAAAAGUCUAAUGGCCAUUGUAAUUUGUUGGAUUUGAAAAGAAUUGAAUUAUUAAAGUGUAUUUGGGCUA
Lathyrus oleraceus (garden pea) is the source of this 659-nucleotide long non-coding RNA. RefSeq lists it as uncharacterized. The transcript is spliced from 2 exons. The record is from RefSeq and is a predicted model, not a curated record. Lineage: Eukaryota; Viridiplantae; Streptophyta; Magnoliopsida; Fabales; Fabaceae.